CGAUAAACACGGCCCCUAGGAAGCAUCUGUGGCUGCAUCAGGGGAAGUGGUUGCUGAGGUUGCACUGGGCCUGCUCCAGAUCUCCGGCCACCCGGGCGCUGAGCCUGCUGACUCGGUUGGACCAUUGGAACAAAAAAAAUUUGGCCUCAUUCCAGGAACCAGUUGCUGCUGAUAACCAAGCCCAUGCUGGGGAGGGACAAUAGCAGGAGGACCUUGACCAUAGAAUAGUUGCUGUCCAAUCCCUGGAGUUCCAGAGGGAUAGAUUGGCAUACGAGGGCCAACUGCAGGUACCAUUGCAGGAGGACGCAUUUGUGAAAACUGUGCCUGCAACCUGGCUUUUCUUUCUUCUUUCCUUUGUGCAAGUGCAACAUACAAUGGCUUGCCAACUACCAUUUUACCAUUCAUCUCUGCGAGAGCUCGAGAUGCUUCUUCAGCACUUGAGAAGGCCACAAAGCCUGAUCCUCUACUUACACCAUUUGGGUCACACAUAACCUUGCAUGA
This 501-nucleotide unclassified non-coding RNA is filed under the name Hevea brasiliensis (rubber tree). The record is from RNAcentral. Lineage: Eukaryota; Viridiplantae; Streptophyta; Magnoliopsida; Malpighiales; Euphorbiaceae.